This 359-nucleotide ribosomal RNA is filed under the name uncultured bacterium. RNAcentral describes it as "bacterial SSU rRNA". It matches the Rfam family "Bacterial small subunit ribosomal RNA", at positions 439 to 793 of the family's 1533-position model. The record is from RNAcentral.
AGGAAGGUGGGUAUGUUAAUAGUCAUACUCAUUUGACGUUUAGCUUGCAGAAGAAGCACCGGCUAACUCCGUGCCAGCAGCCGCGGUAAUACGGAGGGUGCGAGCGUUAAUCGGAAUUACUGGGCGUAAAGCGCAUGCAGGUGGUUUGUUAAGUCAGAUGUGAAAGCCCGGGGCUCAACCUCGGAAUUGCAUUUGAAAACUGGCAAACUAGAGUACUGUAGAGGGGGUAGAAUUUCAGGUGUAGCGGUGAAAUGCGUAGAGAUCUGAAGGAAUACCGGUGGCGAAGGCGGCCCCCUGGACAGAUACUGACACUCAGAUGCGAAAGCGUGGGGAGCAAACAGGAUUAGAUACCCUGGUAG